Molecule: transfer RNA, 74 nt
Filed under: Pseudarthrobacter chlorophenolicus
Lineage: Bacteria; Bacillati; Actinomycetota; Actinomycetes; Micrococcales; Micrococcaceae
Also listed under: 1 other name
Description: tRNA_Ile_GAT
Rfam family: tRNA
About the family: Transfer RNA (tRNA) molecules are approximately 80 nucleotides in length.
Source: RNAcentral
GGUCGUCUAGCUCAUUCGGUUAGAGCACUUCGCUGAUAACGAAGAGGUGCGGGGUUCAAAUCCCCGGAUGGCCA